GAUGAACGCUGGCGGCGUGCCUAAUACAUGCAGGUCGAGCGAACAGACGAGGAGCUUGCUCCUCUGACGUUAGCGGCGGACGGGUGAGUAACACGUGGAUAACCUACCUAUAAGACUGGGAUAACUUCGGGAAACCGGAGCUAAUACCGGAUAAUAUAUUGAACCGCAUGGUUCAAUAGUGAAAGACGGUUUUGCUGUCACUUAUAGAUGGAUCCGCGCCGCAUUAGCUAGUUGGUAAGGUAACGGCUUACCAAGGCAACGAUGCGUAGCCGACCUGAGAGGGUGAUCGGCCACACUGGAACUGAGACACGGUCCAGACUCCUACGGGAGGCAGCAGUAGGGAAUCUUCCGCAAUGGGCGAAAGCCUGAUGGAGCAACGCCGCGUGAGUGAUGAAGGUCUUCGGAUCGUAAAACUCUGUUAUUAGGGAAGAACAAAUGUGUAAGUAACUAUGCACGUCUUGACGGUACCUAAUCAGAAAGCCACGGCUAACUACGUG
Molecule: ribosomal RNA, 497 nt
Filed under: uncultured bacterium
Lineage: Bacteria
Description: partial 16S ribosomal RNA
Rfam family: Bacterial small subunit ribosomal RNA
Source: RNAcentral